Molecule: long non-coding RNA, 8329 nt
Organism: Pseudopipra pipra
Lineage: Eukaryota; Metazoa; Chordata; Aves; Passeriformes; Pipridae
Exons: 3
Source: RefSeq, a predicted model, not a curated record
ACUGCUCAUCUUUCAUCCUUCUUGUAUGCUGGAGCUUGCUUUCUGUAUUUAUUUAGUAUUUCAUCAACAAAGAUUUAAACCCAGGGAUCCAGCAGCAGCUUUUCUCCAGACUGCAUCUCAAGUGAAUAUUACUAAAAGUAACAUGUAAACCCUAAAAUAAAUUUCAAAUAAGAAGGCAUUUCAUCUUCUCUGUUUUCAUAACCGUAUUCUCUGUUUUAAGUCCAAUCCGAGAGAGAUUUCUUUUAACUAAAAGGAUUUGCAUAUGGAUAGUGUUAUUUUGCAGUACAGUGAUGGCUUUCAGUCACCUCAGUGGAAGUUCCAGGACUUUUUUUUGCCUUAAUCAGUCUGUACUGCAUUUUAGAUGAUCGGGACAACAGAAAGAUAGGAUUUCUUUUCUGGUUCUAUUAGUAGAUAAGGACUAGAAGGGACUUACUUGUUCUUGCAUAAUGUUCAUCACAGGAUAUUACUAAGUUCAAAGACAACCUCCAAGCAAAAAUGCAACAUUUCCAAUGAUUCACAGUCUUUCUGUGUAUGGAAAAAUAAACAAAUCAAACUUCUUCAGACAGGACGCUAUUUGGAUAUGUUUAGCUCUCAGUGGUAUGAUAUUGUGGUUUAUUUUGCAUGUGUGUGUUUUUUCUCAGUAAAACUGUGAUCAUCAACUUAAGAUACUUUCAUUGCUGUACUCAAAGUGCUGAGUGCAGCAUCCUGCUUUUACAACUAAUGUCUGUUUCCAAAAGAAGUGAAAUUUGGAAUAAGCAAAGCUCAUGCUUUGUUGUUCAAUUGACCAUUUUUUAUACCCAACUUGGAAACUAUUAUAUUUCCCUUCUCUGAAUAUGUAAUCAGCAAACUAAUUAUGACUGACAUAUGAAAAAAAUGGUGAUUAAGAGGGAGGAAGAGGAGACAGCAGAGCAGGUUCUAGUAUCUGACUGUCGAAAGUACAAAAGCCCAAAACAAAGAAAAAAAGAAGAGCAUUUAUGAAAUUGUGACAUGUUCAGAAAUUCCACUUUUGUUUUUUUGUAGGCUCCCAACACCUCUGUGCAGGUGAAAUUGUGUAAGUAGUCUUAGGAUAAGCCAGUAGAGACAAGACACUAUUUCCAAUAAAAACUCCAUAAAAAUUUAUUUGUGCAGUUUUUAAGAAAAACUGAGGCAGUGAUGGGGUGAAUGACCACUUAUAAUAAUUAUUUUAAUUUAUUGUAAACCAGGUAUAUCUCCACCGGUGUCUUCAGUUAACUUUCCAGUGUUGUCUUUAAGCCACUUAAAAUAAUUUUGCCAUCAGAAGUUUGGGGGUUGAUUUUGGGUUUUUUUUCAGCACUGUCUGGAGCUUUCACAUCACAGUGAGUGAGUACAUCUGCAGCAGAUACUUUUUCACACCUGCUGUCACCUUUGUCUCUGCCUAACUUACUGCACAGACAUCCUAAAUUUUUCUACCUAUCCUAAAAUUUUUGAUAUAGCUAAUCAACUUCCUUACAAGGAAUUUUUCUUUUAGGAUUCAUCUCCAAGAAACUAAUUUUAAGACCAUCUGCUGUCAAAAAUUUAUUUGGUGAGAUGGAGUCUCUAAAGGUGGGAAGCUUCACCUACCACUGAGGACACUGAGGAAGCUGGUGUGAUCCUGAGCCAUGGAGCCUUGCAGAGAGACGAGCAGUGAGAUGCUGGAGGCCACACUGAAGCCCAAUGGAAAAGGAAAUUUGGAGGUUUGGGAAUAGUGUUUAUACCUGAACAGAAGGAUUUAACGUUUCCAUUGGGUGAAAUUCCUUGGAAAUGCUUUGUUUGAAAGCAUUCAAAGGUAUUUGAGGGCCUCAUCACAGACGUAAGGAAUAUUUGACCUUUUGGCAAUCUCUGGUGAAGAUGGCCUUGUCAAAGUUUAUACCUCAUGGAACAUCAGUUUCUUCAGCUGGAAUGUUUUGAACCCAUUGGAACACUUUGGUGCUCCAGUGUGUGUCGGUGUCAGCAAGAAAGCAAAACAGGCAUUGAAACAUGUUUUUGGUGAGAUGUGUUGCCCACUUCAGUUUGCUUAUGGCCAUUGACAUCUCUCUUCUUCUGCACAUCUGGAUUUAAGAACAACCUUAAUAAGAAAAGUGGAAUUGAUUUGGAAUUUGAAACACCAGUCUUCCUAUGCAUGUUCAUCAGGUAUAACCAAUGGAAAUAGAAAUGUAAAGCAGACAUUUUUGCCAACUCAAAUUCUAAAGUAGGUCGGAGUCCUGUAGGGCAUACAUAUUUUAGUCUCCCUCAACCUCUCCUUCCACCCCUCCUUGAACCUUUUAGAACCAACUUAGCUAUGGCAAAAUCUUGUUAAGAAACAAAUAAUAGGAAAAACUUCAGCUAGAUAUUAAAUCAGUGAUAUUUUACAAAAAGGAGCCCUUUUUUUCCAUUCAGUGCUGUUGGAAUUGCUGCUUUUACAACAUCUGUAUAGACACAGGGCUUCCAGAUCUGCUUAAGUAAACACUUUGCUUUUUUUAUUUCCACUAUACAUGUAAGGGGAUAAGUAGGUUACUAUUUGUGAGAUUCAUGAAAAGCUUGAGUUUAGAAGGCUCUUUUGUAUUAGAUGUCUUAAUCCAAUUUUCUUUAUUGGAUUGGUAAAUGAAAAUAAAUUCCCUUGAGCUCAAAUAAUAAAGGACUAAAAUAAACCUGGUGCACACACAACUCAAACUAAUAAUAAAGAACAAGCAGCAUCAGUUUUAAAAACUGAUUUGUCCUGAGCAGUGUUUCCAGGGGCCUGGAGUUCUGUCUGCUACACAGCUGCUGCCAGAGAGAUCUGAACUUGAAGAUGCUGUGUGGAAAUUUCCAAUCUCUUCAGUUUUACUUUAUUUUUGCUUGUUUGAGAUGUUCUCUCCCUUGCUGAAUUUUGAUUCCCCUGAGAUGUUCUUGAGAUGUGGAUCUACCUCAUUCCUGGAAUGUGGCAAUAUCUUAAUAUGUCUUUCAAAACAUUCUAGUUAUAUGUGGUGGUGGGUUUUGUUUUUUUUUUUUCUUUACAAAUUAGUUUUUUUCUUCUGGGACUUUAAGUUUCCUUGUUUUAAAUAGAGCUUUUUAUUCACUGCUAUAUCUUUUGGUAGAAAUGAUUGAUGUUAAUUUAAUGUCUCUAUUUAGGCAAUUAUCAGAAGUUUUAAACAUUUAUAACAAAUGUUGGUAGAAACUCCUACAUUCUUAAUCUGAAAUGGAAGACGAAAAUUUUGGCAAAUCUGAAGACCCUUACCUGAAAUGCAGCUGAAAAUUACAGUACAAAUGUUUUCCUUUUCUUCAAACUCUGGGGAUUGAAUGCAUCCACAUAUCGUUAGCCAAAAAAACCCAACCAACCAACCAACCAACCAACCAACCAACCAAAAAACCAAAGCACAUUUUUCAUUUCAUUCCAACAAUGUACUAUAAUCAUGGAUCUGACCCAAAGUCUUUGCCUGGUCCCAUCAGUCUCAAAGAUACUUGGACCUGCAAAUGGGUUUAAUCGUUUCAUUGAGUCAAGGUCCCCAUGAAUAUAUAACUGGUGUUCACCUUACUGUGAGUAAAAUGUUCACAUUCUGUGAGAUGCUGAAUUCAUUUUGAGAUCUGUGAUUAAUUUGUAUCAAAGUUUUGUUAUUGCUAAUGCUUCCCAGUGCCAGGUGCGAGUUAUGGCUGAAAUUCUUUUAGAGUAUUUGGCAGGACUGUGUGAAGUAAUUAUAAAUCAUAUUGUAAUAUUGAGCCUCAAGAGAAGAAAAAUCUCAAGAAUUCUUAAAUACAAACCAAAUCUCCAAAUUUUUAAAAUGUCAAUAUUAAAAUGUUCUGAAACAGAAUCAAACCAGCUGUUUUAGUGGAACUUUUUGCCCAUGAAGAGCUUUGCUUUCUAUUGGCAGGUUUUGUUAUUUCUAUGUUAUAGCCAUUAUUAUUACCUAUAAAAAUUCAAAGAGUUUGUUUCCUUUUAUUUCCUUGUCUUCUUAAAGAAGUAAAUGCUGGUAAAAAGAAGCAGGGAAGGAGGAGAGGAGAUUUAAUUCCCUGCUCUUAAUAGUAUUGCAAGUGAAGCAUAUGUAAAUUCCUCAAAGAAACUUGUGUCAUGUUUAAAACAUAUGGAAGGACAUAUCCAUCAAGGUGAAGAGGAGACAGGUAAUUGUCCAGGUAAACAACUGUUUACCUAGAAGGGCCUAGAACAGCAGUUUAUAUAUUGCUGGGAGAAGAAGAGGUCUCACCUUCUUCUUCUUGGCAGAAUUGUCCCUGAAGCACCUUUGGUUGCUAUAAUUAUGCUUUGGGGAAAAACUUCUCUUGGUUGUAUUGUCAGUUAAUGCUUUCCCCAUGUUUCAUGCCAUGUUUGGCGUGAGCAUAAUCCAAGGAUGGAUCAGUACUGGCUGCCUGGGCUAUUGGAUGGAGGAGCACACUAAUCCUGGCAGAUCACUUUCCUUACAGCUAUGUCACACACAGGUAUUGCUGACUUCAGCCAGGUAGCAUGACCAUCUGGAAUAGACUGUAAGCACAGGUUAAGCUCUCACUUGAUUUUAAAAAUAAAUAUACUUGUUUCAAAUUACUGUAGUCCAAAAUAUUUAGCUCUUGCAACAUUUAGUCUUUAGAAAAACAUGUUGUAGCAAGUGGCCAGACCUUUCAAUACUAGAAAGUCUCAUUUGACCUUAAAACAGGUGUUGGUGAUGGGUUAUAGGCAUGUCUGCAGGGGAAUUAUCAUGGUGUCCAGGUUUUUGUUUCCUUUCUGCUACCUGAAGUGUGAUGGGUCAUUAGUGCGGUGGUUUGGGGUGCAGAAGACCAGAUGCAGGGAGUGCUGCUUCUCCUGUGCAUGUCUGUGUGCUAGCACAGAGGCUUCAGAAGCAAACAAAGCAACUUUCUGUUUGUAGUCUUUUAUUUUUCUCCCUGUGCCUGUGCAGCAGGGUCUGUCACUUGCAGCCAGCAGGUGCAAAUGUGCACAUCAGCUGUUCUCUUUUAGCAGGGGUGGUUUCAUUGUUCAGUCUGAGUCACUCUCAAACUGCACAACUUUCUUUCAUUUUGAUGAUAAGAAUAUUUUCCCUACAUUCAGACAACCAUAUUCAGUGAUCCAGUAACAAAAGUUAACUCUCUUAUGCAAAUCCUAAGCUAUGACUGGUCUAAAGUCCUCCUUUUUUCAAGCAAGAGAAAUUGUUCAAGGCUAAACUCUGUUCCUGUUGCCACAGUUCUCAUAAUCCUCCUGUGCAGGCAAACUAACUCUUGGUUUCAAAGUAUGUCUGAGUCAGGCAUUCCUGUUUGCUGGUGAUCUAGAAGUGUGUUCUCUGGUAUUUGGCAGCUAGAAAAGUGAGAAAUCAUACUGUUGAGUGUGGCACUGGAGACAAAUUGGUCACCUUUCCUUAUUCUUCCAAAAAGGCAGAACUGUUCACACCUCUUACAGAUAACAGUGUUUAUGUGUCUGUUUUCUCUCCUUCCACCUUCCUGAAGACAUCCACCUCCUGUCCUAGAGGAGUUGUUGCAAUCCAGGCAUGUCCUUUCCUCUUUGGAAUGAGAUUCUCCUCUCCAGCUGAGCUUCUAUCCAGGUUUUGCAGAAUAAAUUCAGGUGGAAACUAGAAAAAAGCAGAAUAGCCUCCAACAGGCCUGUGCAGCCCUAACAGAUACAUCUCUUGCAAAGCAGGACAGGAUGUGUGGUUUGUGUAUAGGCUGCUCCUCACACAAGCAGGAAAAGCUUUGCUCAAGGGAGUGGCAGAUUUGCACUUACAAAUGAAUUGCCUCUCCUCUGCUAGGGCAUGCUUUCCUAUUUCACUGUGUACUGUGAAUCUGAGUGGAAAUAUUCCCUUGUUUUGGAUGGAAGAGCAUUCAUGUUUUCAUACUUUGGUAUACACUGGUUGAAGCUGGAAGGAAGAUUAUGGGUCUAGGAGGAGUGAUUGCAUUUAUUAUGCCAAAGGAGUAGAUGUUCAGUCCUACACAAACCCACAUUUGUAUAGAGUGGUUGUUUCCCAAGCAUGCGCUAAUGAAUUUAAACCUUCUUUUUGUAAGCACAUGAUAAGAAUGCACAAUAUCUUAUUCAGGAUAUAAUGCAGAAUAAUAAAAGAUCAUCACUGUGAGCAUCAAUUUCAUUUUACUUCCAGACUUCAACUUCAGACCCCUUUAAAACCUCUCUGCAGCCAGACUCUUAGCUUGUCAGCACUGGCACAGCUGCACAGGUCUGACCUCUUUGCUUAAGAAGGACUGCAGGAUUUUAUCGCCUCAGGUACUCUUGAAACAUAUUCCACAUCCAAGAACAUCCAAAAUUCUGAAAACACUUUGAAUUCCCCCAUCCUAAUCCAAGCCAUAGUCUCCUGAUGCCUUUGCUUAAUUGUGUAUUUGUUUGCUUUUAAGGACCUCUAUGAAACAAGUGCUAUGAAACAGCUAUUUUUGUUAUUUAUCAUUGACAAAUUUUAAAAAAAUAAAGUAAUUGAAGAGAAUUAUUUUCCUCAUAUACUCUAUAUCAGUAUUUUGCUCUCAAAAAAACCCUCACUAAACCUUUUGAAAAACACUUUUGCAGAUCUUUCCAUGUGAGGCCACUAUCUCUUGCAUUUGGAGAGUGGUCUGCAAACAAGAAUGGAGCUUUAGAGUGGGUUGUCUUCAGCAGUCUGUAUGUGCCUUUCCUGCCAAAUACAGGUAUUGUUCAUGGUGCCUGUCAGAUCAUCAGUUCCAAUCCCAGACCUGCCUAUCCUGCUUCCCAGAGUGUUAGCAAUGUGGUUGGAAGAGUUAAAACCAUCCCUCAGAAGCUUGUCCUCUUAGUCUUGAGGACACCAGCGGCAUCUGGGCCUCAGUGCCACAGUGGACAAUGUCCUAAAAUCACUGGUCUUGCCCCUGCAAGGAUGGAUGAAUGUGGAGGUUUGUAGCUGCUAUGUCCAUAGAGUGCCCACUCCGACGAGAAACUGAAUCUUAUAGAGAGCGCAGUGUCUUGUGGAAAUUCUUUGAUUUUCCCUGCCUAAAAAGUUAAUAUUAAAUGAUGGGGGUUUUUUUAAUCUCAUUCUUUUAGCUAGUAAAUUAUAUUGUUUAAAGAAGUAUGUUAUAUGUAUCUAAAUCCAUUGAAUUAUUUUUUAGACUCUGGGUGUCAGCCACUUUCAAUAGUCUAUAGAUUAAUUAAUACUCAGAGUAAUUAAACUUAUCAGACCAGGUCCUUUUCAAUGCCCUACAUCAGAAUUCCUAGUGACUGCUAACCCUAGUUCUCCAAUCUCAUAUCAUUUCCUCAGGCAUCUCUUUAUCAGGAUUAAAGAGAAAAAACAGCAUCAUCAUACUCUGUGUAUGUUCUACUUAUCCAGUUAUUUAUUUAUUUAUUCAUAUUAUUAUGUGAUGAAUCUGGACAAACAUGGGUUGUUUGUGACAACUUGAGGAACAUGUCUCAGAGAGAUCAGGAACAAGUUGUAACUGGGAGUCCUGAGCUGAACCUUACUGGAGUGAGAAUAUUACUGGUGCCUCCACAGGACCCAGCUGUCACCAGCAUUGCCCAACUAACUGGGCUGGCUGGUGCAGACAGGAAUCAUUUCAUACACAGCAUGUCACAGUGCUUGUGCAGAGCCAGAGCUGAGCUGAGAUCUCUGAACCCUUGCAGAGCCUGAGGGUACUUUUUGGCAGAGGCUUGAUAAAAUCAUGUGCCAAGUCUGCUGGAAGUCAGAAAAUUUUCCAUCUUGGCUCAAAUCCUGCCAGUGCAUUGUGCUUCCUAUACAUAGAACUACUGGGUUCCAUGGAUUUGUUGUAAGACAUUGAAUGCCAAAUACAAUUGUCUGCUUUGUGUGAGCAUCAAAAAGCCUGGAGCUGCUCCUGACCCUCAGCGGGGUGGUGGUUGCUGUGGAGGGCAUUUCAGCAUCUUUCUACGUGACUCUGACAAGUCCAGAUGGAGAGCGGUCUGAGACACCAACAGCUGUGCCACAAGAACUAGCAAUUUUUGACACAGCAGCAUGUAUGUUUCAGUUAGAGAUACAGCUUGCACUCUGUAGAUGCUGUUCCAGCUCUGCAGAGCACCAGAAGAACCCCUACAGACAAAAAUUAAUGUGAUCCAGACACUUUCACUUCAGUUUUCUUAUAAAAACAUAGUUUUGCUCAUAGAAGAAGCUUCUGAGAAAAGAAUGUAUAUAUAAAUUUUUGUUGCAAUUUAAUGUUUUAAUCACAUGAAUGUAAUUCCUUUCUGGCAUAUCUAUUCGUAUGUAUUAAAUAUUUUUAUUGAACAAUGUAAGAAAACUAUUAUUUUGCAUAUUAAAAAUGCAAGGGGUAAUAUAAAAUCCAUUUCAAAUUCUGAAAUGUGAAAGCUAAGUUACAUACCCUUGUUUCUGUUGUUUUGUUGGCUUUUUUUUUUAAUUAGAGACAGAAAGGUUGAAUGAUCUUCCUUAGCUUCCAUGACAUCUGCUAUAACAAUACAGACCUCAUGCUGAGUGACCUCAUGUCGAGCUUUGGG